This 1083-nucleotide long non-coding RNA is filed under the name Canis lupus familiaris (dog). RNAcentral describes it as "lncRNA (ENSCAFG00000048794.2)". The record is from RNAcentral. Lineage: Eukaryota; Metazoa; Chordata; Mammalia; Carnivora; Canidae.
GAUUUUUCUAAUUCUCCCCUAUUUAGGAAAUAGAGAAGAAUUUCCCUUUUGGUCUUCAAAUGAGGAUCAUUGAGGCCCACUGUGUGGAAGACCACAAGGAGCAGCCAGCAGAGCCAGUGAGACAGUUUACAGUUCAGGCAGCUACAACAGCUGUUACGAGAUAUGAUGGCUUGGAGCAAGGAAGGAGGUGGUGUCAUAUUCAAAAGCCUUACCCAAGAGUAGGAGCCCUCCUGAUGGGGUCCCUCCCCCCCCCCCCAACAAGCCAUGUUCCUUCCCUCCUAUAUCCCGUAGGCCACAAACCACAGCUAGGCACAUACACGUGUGUAAAGAGUAUUUGUUGACUCAGUGAAAGAAUUAGUGAAUGAUCCAAGCCUAGAGCAUCAUCAUCACCUAUUAUUAUUUUUUUUUUUUUAAGAUUUUUUUUUUUUAGGGAAAGAGAGCGUGAGCAGGGGGUGGGGCAGAGGGAGAAAAUCAGAUUCCCAGCUAAAGGCAGAGCCCCAGGCGGGGCUGGAUCCCACCACCCUGAGAUCCUGAGCUGAGUGCAAAUCAAGUCAGAGGCUUAAUCAACUGAGCCACCCGGGCGCCCCCACUAACGAUAGGCAUAUAGUCAGCAUUCAGUAAAUGUUUGCACAUAGAGUACAGCACAAUUCUGCAAGGCCAGGUGACUAGUCCUCUUUGCAAGGAGGAAGACUGGGGCUCGGACAGGAAUGUGUACCCCGGGGUCCCUCUGCACAGCCUAGACUAGAAGCUUCCUUCUAGCCAAGUCCUGGACACUGGGUGGAGAGUGCUUGCUCUCAGGGUGAGUCACGAUGACUUCACAGGAGUUUCGCUCAAAGGUUCUCCGCCCUGCGAUGAAGAGAAGCCGAAACUUCACGAGGCCAGGAGGUCAGGGGGCCCAAGGAGGUCAGGCGUCCUAAAAUCGCCGGGGCCGGGUCCUCCCACCUUCAGGCCACAGAGACGAAGGGCCAGAAGGGCCGCCCGCUCACGGCCGAGGCCCCGCCCCCCGCUCGCCGGCCCGCCCGCGCCUCCAGCGGAAGCCGGAAGCAAAAGCGGUCCCAGCUAGCCCCUGGCUCCGAACUCGGU